AACGAACGCUGGCGGCAUGCCUAACACAUGCAAGUCGAACGAGACCUUCGGGUCUAGUGGCGCACGGGUGCGUAACGCGUGGGAACCUGCCCUUGGGUUUGGAAUAACGUCGGGAAACUGACGCUAAUACCGGAUAAUGUCUUCGGACCAAAGAUUUAUCGCCAAAGGAUGGGCCCGCGUAGGAUUAGCUAGUUGGUGGGGUAACGGCUCACCAAGGCGACGAUCCUUAGCUGGUCUUAGAGGAUGAUCAGCCACACUGGGACUGAGACACGGCCCAGACUCCGACGGGAGGCAGCAGUGGGGGAUAUUUGACAAAGGGCGAAAGGCUGAUCCAGCAAUGCCGCGUGAGUGAUGAAGGCCUUAGGGUUGUAAAGCGCUUUUACUGGGGGUGAUAAUGACAGUACCCAGAGAAUAAGCCCCGGCUAACUCCGUGCCAGCCGCCGCAGUAA
RNAcentral lists this ribosomal RNA (449 nucleotides) under uncultured bacterium. Its description in RNAcentral is "partial 16S ribosomal RNA". It matches the Rfam family "Bacterial small subunit ribosomal RNA", at positions 29 to 523 of the family's 1533-position model. The record is from RNAcentral.